AAUGAACGUUGGCGGCGUGCUUAGCACAUGCAAGUCGAGCGAGAAAGCUCCUUCGGGAGUGAGUACAGCGGCGGACUGGUGCGUAACACGUAAGAAUCUGCCCAUUAGUGAAGAAUAACAUCGAGAAAUUGGUGCUAAUGCUGCAUACGUUCCUUCGGGAAGAAAGGUGGCUUUAUGCUGCCGCUAGUGGAUGAGCUUGCGCGCUAUUAGCUUGUUGGUGGGGUAAAGGCCUACCAAGGCAAUGAUGGCUAGCCGGCCUGAGAGGGUGUACGGCCACAUUGGGACUGAGAUACGGCCCAG
RNAcentral lists this ribosomal RNA (300 nucleotides) under uncultured bacterium. RNAcentral's name for it is "bacterial SSU rRNA". It matches the Rfam family "Bacterial small subunit ribosomal RNA", at positions 29 to 334 of the family's 1533-position model. The record is from RNAcentral.